This 302-nucleotide ribosomal RNA is filed under the name uncultured bacterium. Its description in RNAcentral is "partial 16S ribosomal RNA". It matches the Rfam family "Bacterial small subunit ribosomal RNA", at positions 508 to 807 of the family's 1533-position model. The record is from RNAcentral.
GCAGUCGCCGCGGUAAUACGUAGGGUGCAAGCGUUAAUCGGAAUUACUGGGCGUAAAGCGUGCGCAGGCGGUUUGUUAAGACAGAUGUGAAAUCCCCGGGCUCAACCUGGGAACUGCAUUUGUGACUGGCAAGCUAGAGUGUGGCAGAGGGGGGUGGAAUUCCGCGUGUAGCAGUGAAAUGCGUAGAUAUGCGGAGGAACACCGAUGGCGAAGGCAGCCCCCUGGGCCAACACUGACGCUCAUGCACGAAAGCGUGGGGAGCAAACAGGAUUAGAUACCCCAGUAGUCCCUGUCUCUUAUAC